This 391-nucleotide long non-coding RNA is filed under the name Eucalyptus grandis. RNAcentral describes it as "long non-coding RNA (EGRA_LNC005477)". The record is from RNAcentral. Lineage: Eukaryota; Viridiplantae; Streptophyta; Magnoliopsida; Myrtales; Myrtaceae.
CCCUCUUUUCCCCUUCUUCUUCUUUCUUCUUCUUCCCUCUUCUUCUUCCUCGUUCCUUCUUUCUCUGCCUCUAUAGUUCACGCGCAGAAGAUGAUGACGCGCGCAAAGGACGGCCUACGGCCGAGGGGAGUAGGCCGACGUUGGCCGGAGAGGAUAAGAUCUCGGGCGCCAUCAAUGCCGAGCACGCUUCGCUGGAUAAGCUCGGAUGGGACGCCGGUCCAGCCAAGGAGAACCGCUCGGCGCGCGAAGGGGACCGCCGGUCGAAGCUCCGUCGACCGGACCUCCUCGCCUAUAAAUAGAGGAGCACCUUCGUCGACAAACAGCAUCGCAAGCUUGGAGAUCUUCCCACUGAGAGACUUCGGGGGAGGAAUCGACGAGCGAGCGAGAGAGA